This 2639-nucleotide long non-coding RNA is filed under the name Nicotiana benthamiana. RNAcentral's name for it is "long non-coding RNA (NBEN_LNC005503)". Lineage: Eukaryota; Viridiplantae; Streptophyta; Magnoliopsida; Solanales; Solanaceae. The record is from RNAcentral.
AAUAAAUGCAUCUUCCCCAUUAAUCAAAAUAUAUCCUUAGGGGUAUUACUGCCAUUGAAUUGUCUACUGUAGUCAGAUUCAUAAAGGUGCAAAAGACUUCACACAUAUUUUAUUGUGUAUUUCAAUAGCAUAUAGUAGCGGUGAUUUGCAAGUAAAAGAUUGGAAUCUUUGGCUUGUUCAUUAUAUGAUCCUAAUCAAGGAUAUAUAGAAUUAGUUUGCAAAUUCAAGUCAACACAUCUUCAGAUUCUUCUAGAUUACUCUCUGCUUUAUCUAGUCGCAGUUAUUCACGUUCUAUUUCAAACAUGGACUACACUGUAGGUCCAACUUUGUUUCUCUUCCAUCGCUGCAAAAUAAUUCACCUGGACAGUCGGGGUUGACUUCCCUAUUAGAUUUUGCUCACAGUCUUGAAGUCUUUAUGGUCUUAUUAAAACGAUAUAGCUAAGUUGAUAAUUUGCUUAAACACGUUCAUGCAAGUGGCCUCUUUAAGAGAAUUGAGUUAGUUGUCACGUCUACUCUGCUAAGAUUUAAAAGAGCACAAAUGUUGAGGGAUGGUCUGCUUUGUCAGAUAUUUGGAGGUUCUAGUUUAUCUCAGGUUGAUUUGGGUUUUGAGCUCUCCGGUGUUGAUUCAAUGUUCGGGUUUAUAAGUUUGGUAUUUUAAUCCCAGGAUUGUCGCCUUGUUUAGCCCGAUGGAUUUGCAAUUCAGUUUUGUUCAUCAAUAAAAGGUCCAUUUCUCAGUUUUCAUUCUCAUUUUAUUUUGUUACAAUAGUUUGGUGCGUGUGUUGGUUUAUUUAUUAUCCUACAUGUUUGAGUAGCAUGUCUGAGUUUUUUUCAUUAAAGCUGUUUGAAUUAGUUUUUAUUUCGAUUGUGAUGUAUGUAGUCUUACUCCUGGCACUUCAAUAAAUGCUUUUAAUUGGGUAGUUGGAAAAAUUGGAGUUGUUACUCUCUUGGCAAGGAAUAGAAUGGGCCGUAAGGUGGGUCUUGAAUUAUAAAGAAUCUGGCCAAGUAAUAGACCACGUUAGCUAGCCUAUUUGCUCCCCAAUAAUAUCUUGUUCACAAAUUUGACAUAACAACAAUCUCAAAGAUUAGGAAAUUAAUUAAAUUAGCUAGUUUAUUUAGGUGUGAUUAACAAUAAUCAUCGUGGCUAUACAUACGAAUCUCGUAGUAUGGUCACGAUACAUAAUUUCUAAAUCUGGGAGUACGUGAAUGUGAUCCGACCACAACUUCUAAUAAUAUUAAUAAAUUAAACAUGUUGUAGAUCGUGGGUACGAUUUUCAUGACACGAUUUGUAAUGUUUAUCAAACAAGCAAGUGCAUGACAAUCGUAACUUGUUCAAGAAAUAAUUUCAUAAAUCCUAAAAGAAAUUAAAUUAAUUAAAAGCGGCUUAAAAGGGAUAAAAAUGCACAUAGGUUUAAGAUGUUUUAAAAUCAAAUAAAUAGGCCUAUAAUAAUAGUUGAUCGACCGUGCUAAAACCACGGAAUCUAGGAAUGCCUAACAUCUUUUCCCGGGUUAAUAGAAUUCCUUACGCGGAUUUUUGUAUUUCGCGGACUGUAAAAUAGAAUCAAACUUUCUCGAUUUGGGAUUUUAAAUCGGUGUCUUGGAACACCUAAAUUAUCUAAAGUGCCGACUCUGAACUUAAAUAAAUAAUUUGUUUUGAUUAUAGUCACUUUGAUUGGAAAAAUUUUCCUAUACCCUUUCCGGAUAGAAAAUCUAGGUGCGAUAGUAGUGUGGCAACACAUGUAGUCUAAUGAAUUAUACCUUCGGACUGAAAAAAUGAUGUGGCAAGAUUACCUGAACCCAACUCAAAGGCAUUAUUAGAACUAAUCACUUUAACUUUGGUAGAAAAUUAUCUUUCAACCAGCAAUAGAAAAGAUUUCAAAAUUGUAAAGGCAAUGGACUUGAUAAAUAGAAGAAAUAUCCAAGUACUUCUUGAAAAAUCAUCAACUAUUGUUAAGAAGUAUCUUUCCCCAUUAUAGGUAGAAGACUUAUAAGGUCCCCAAGUAUCAAUGUGGAGUAAGUGAAAACUGUGCUUAGCAGUGAUUGAACUAAUAGGAAAAUGUGGCUUGGUUUGCCUUGUCAUAGGGUAGACAGUACAAGAAAAAUGUAUUUUAUUCUUUAAAGUUGUUGAAAAACUGAUAAUAUUCUUCAUAGCAUGGAAAGGUAAAUGACUCAUGUUAUUGUGCUAUAUGAGAGCAGAAUCAAAAACUGUAAAAGCUGAACCAAUUUCAUUGAUAAUUUCACUAAAUAACUUAGUACAUUUAUGACUUAAAGGAUUGGAGAAUAUACCCUUGGACCAUUUGACUCUGGCAAACAAGGAAAAGAUUUAGACAAACUAGACUGAGACUCAUGACUGGAAUUAAAAGAAACAGGAACAAAAGACUGAGAAGUAAUAAGCUUCAUCUCUGGUGUGCUAUCCUUCAUCACAUAAAACCCAGCUGCUAAAUUACCGAGAACAUGGUCCCUCUUCGAAAAAGGAGAAUGUAUGGAACACACAUGUUUAGAAAAAAAAUUAAAUUCCAAUCAAAUUGUGUGCAAAAAUGGAAAACUGAUAAAUGAUUAUGUUUGAAUACAGGUACAUAAAGCACGUUAUAAAGCUCCAAAUCUGGAGUCAAGUGUAGGCUUCCUACAUAAGUAACCUGCAC